Macaca fascicularis (crab-eating macaque) is the source of this 104-nucleotide small nucleolar RNA. The record is from Ensembl. Lineage: Eukaryota; Metazoa; Chordata; Mammalia; Primates; Cercopithecidae.
AUCCUUUAGUAGUUCAUAAGCAUGAUGAUUGGCUUUUUAUGCUCAUGAAUAAAAUAUGCCUCCCUCAAGCCUUUUUAUGACAUUGGCACAUUACCCGUCUGAUG